RNAcentral lists this ribosomal RNA (328 nucleotides) under uncultured eukaryote. RNAcentral describes it as "partial 18S ribosomal RNA". It matches the Rfam family "Eukaryotic small subunit ribosomal RNA", at positions 1470 to 1796 of the family's 1831-position model. The record is from RNAcentral.
CCCUUAGAUGUUCUGGGCUGCACGCGCGCUACACUGAUGCACUCAACGAGUUUUCGACCUUGCCCGAUAGGGCUGGGUAAUCUUUUUAAAAUGCAUCGUGAUGGGGAUAGAUUAUUGCAAUUAUUAAUCUUCAACGAGGAAUUCCUAGUAAGCGCGAGUCAUCAGCUCGUGCUGAUUACGUCCCUGCCCUUUGUACACACCGCCCGUCGCUACUACUGAUUGGAUGUUUAAGCGAGGUUCUCGAACUGCUAGUGACUGAUCUUCGGUGAGGUCGCAGUGUGGGAAGUGAUCCUAGCUUUGGUGUCUAGAGGAAGUAAAAGUCGUAACA